AGUGAACGCUGGCGGUAGGCCUAACACAUGCAAGUCGAACGGCAGCACAGUAAGAGCUUGCUCUUACGGGUGGCGAGUGGCGGACGGGUGAGGAAUACAUCGGAAUCUACUUUUUCGUGGGGGAUAACGUAGGGAAACUUACGCUAAUACCGCAUACGACCUACGGGUGAAAGCAGGGGAUCUUCGGACCUUGCGCGAUCGAAUGAGCCGAUGUCGGAUUAGCUAGUUGGCGGGGUAAAGGCCCACCAAGGCGACGAUCCGUAGCUGGUCUGAGAGGAUGAUCAGCCACACUGGAACUGAGACACGGUCCAGACUCCUACGGGAGGCAGCAGUGGAGAAUAUUGGACAAUGGGCGCAAGCCUGAUCCAGCCAUACCGCGUGGGUGAAGAAGGCCUUCGGGUUGUAAAGCCCUUUUGUUGGGAAAGAAAAGCAGCAGGUUAAUACCCCGCUGUUCUGGCGGUACCGAAAGAAUAAGCACCGGCUAACUUCG
This 490-nucleotide ribosomal RNA is filed under the name uncultured bacterium. RNAcentral describes it as "partial 16S ribosomal RNA". It matches the Rfam family "Bacterial small subunit ribosomal RNA", at positions 29 to 505 of the family's 1533-position model. The record is from RNAcentral.